Molecule: unclassified non-coding RNA, 234 nt
Filed under: plant metagenome
Description: partial contains small subunit ribosomal RNA, internal transcribed spacer 1, and 5.8S ribosomal RNA
Source: RNAcentral
UAUCCGUAGGUGAACCUGCGGAAGGAUCAUUACUGAGUGAGGGCCCUCUGGGUCCAACCUCCCACCCGUGUUUAUUGUACCUUGUUGCUUCGGUGCGCCCGCCUCACGGCCGCCGGGGGGCUUCUGCCCCCGGGUCCGCGCGCACCGGAGACACCAUUGAACUCUGUCUGAAGAUUGCAGUCUGAGCAUAAACUAAAUAAGUUAAAACUUUCAACAACGGAUCUCUUGGUUCCG